GUGCUCGCUUUGGCAGCACAUAUACUAAAAUUGGAACGAUAUAGAGAAGAUUAGCAUGGCCCCUGCACAAGGAUGAUAUGAAAAUACAUGAAGUAUUUCAUAUUAAA
Molecule: small nuclear RNA, 107 nt
Organism: Suncus etruscus (white-toothed pygmy shrew)
Lineage: Eukaryota; Metazoa; Chordata; Mammalia; Eulipotyphla; Soricidae
Source: RefSeq, a predicted model, not a curated record